UUGGACCUGAUAUCAGGCAAGAUUACCCGCUGAAUUUAAGCAUAUAACUAAGCGGAGGAAAAGAAACUAACAAGGAUUCCCCUAGUAACGGCGAGUGAAGCGGGAAGAGCUCAAGCUUAAAAUCUCUAUGCAAGUUUUGCAUGGCGAAUUGUAGUCUAUAGAGGCGAUAUCAGUGCGGCUAUUUAGAAUAAGUUCCUUGGAAAAGGACAGCAUCGAGGGUGAUACUCCCGUUUGUAUUUAUAUAGCUAGCACGUACGAUACGUUUUCUUUGAGUCGUGUUGUUUGGGAAUGCAGCACAAAGUAGGUGGUAAAUUCCAUCUAAAGCUAAAUAUUGGUGCGAGACCGAUAGCGAACAAGUACCGUGAGGGAAAGAUGAAAAGAACUUUGAAAAGAGAGUUAAAGAGUACCUGAAACUGCUGAAAGGGAAUCGAAUCGUUUCCAGUGUCUAUAAUCUAUAGCAUAUUUCAUUGGCUAGUUUAUGCGUGUAGUGUUAUGACAGUAGCUUGCUGCGUCUUGCAUUAUUCUGCGUUAACUUGCUGGUGCCCUGUGCUAUGGUGAGACGUCAAAGUCAGUUUGUAUGCUGCGGGAAAUGAUUAGUUGAGGAGGUAGGCCGAGUGCUUGCACUUUGCUGUUAUACCUUAGUUAAUUAGUUGUCGUGGUUGAGACUGAGGUGCCUACAAUGUGCUUUAAAGUCUUUCAAGUACUUAUCUAAUUCGUUGUUUGGAUAGCUUGCUAUGUUGAUAAUUGAAUCGGGUGAUUGUAUUUGCAAGCUACUUUUGCCGUUCGGGACUUUGACGAAAUGGAGCGAUUCGGCCCGUCUUGAAACACGGACCAAGGAGUCUAACAUGUGUGCAAGUGUUAGGGUGUGGAAACCCCAGCGCAAAAUGAAAGUAAAGGAUAGCAUUAGUUAUCUGAGGUAGGAAACCUUUCCUUGUGAAGGGUGGCACUAUCGACCGAUCAUGAACCUUCGUGGUGAAAGAUUUGAGUAUGAGCACAUAUGUUGGUACCCGAAAGAUGGUGAACUAUGCCUGAGUAGGGUGAAGCCAGGGGAAACUCUGGUGGAAGCUCGUAGCGAUUCUGACGUGCAAAUCGAUCGUCAAACUUGGGUAUAGGGGCGAAAGACUAAUCGAACCAUCUAGUAGCUGGUUCCCUCCGAAAUUUCCCUCAGGAUAGCAGCAACUUAGUCACGAUAGUUUUAUGAGGUAAAGCGAAUGAUUAGAGGACUCGGGGAAGAAACUUUCUUGACCUAUUCUCAAACUUUAAAUCUGUAAGACCUGCAGGUUUCUUAAUUGAACUUGUGGAUUUGAAUAUCAAGUUGCUAGUGGGCCAUACGGGGUAAGCUCGUCUGGCGAUGCGGGAUGAACCGAACGCAAAGUUAAAGUGCCAAAGUACCCGCUCACCUAGAUACCAUAAAAGGUGUUGGUUCAUUUAGACAGCAGGACGGUGGCCAUGGAAGUUGGAAUCCGCUAAGG
Molecule: ribosomal RNA, 1472 nt
Filed under: Myzocytiopsis subuliformis
Lineage: Eukaryota; Oomycota; Myzocytiopsidales; Myzocytiopsidaceae
Description: eukaryotic LSU rRNA
Rfam family: Eukaryotic large subunit ribosomal RNA
Source: RNAcentral